AAAACCCAGUCUGAUCUGUUGGUUGGAACAAGAGGAAGAGUUGAGGACAGUGGAGAGAGGAGUCUUCCAAGAAUCAGAAAUGCAUCUUAAAACCAGAGACUCAGCAGUUCCUCCACAGGAUAUUUUAGGGGAAAAAACUUCCAAUAGGAUAGAAAUGCAUCAGAGUGCAAGCAACGGAAGAGUUUAGAAAAGGUGAGAUUUUGCCUACUCUUGGACACACCCUGAUUUCAUAUUGCUGUGGAAGAAUAACCACCUUAGCACCUUGGUAGGACGUCUGACCUUAGGCUGUGCAGGAAGAAGGGGAGAACAAUGAACGUUCUCUUUCACCCCUGUAUCCAGCACCAUGGCCUGGCAUAACAAUCAUGUCAUCUUUGCAGCUCAGGCAACAGCUGCUGCUGGUGGUAUGACC
Long non-coding RNA from Diceros bicornis minor, 409 nucleotides. RefSeq lists it as uncharacterized. The transcript has 3 exons. Lineage: Eukaryota; Metazoa; Chordata; Mammalia; Perissodactyla; Rhinocerotidae. The record is from RefSeq and is a predicted model, not a curated record.